AUGAUGAAUGUGAAAACAUGCACACACUCUACUGUGAAUCACCAGUUUCCAUCCCACCAUCCUGUUUACUGUGCUUCUCCUUCAGGAAACCAGCAGGCUGUUUUGGCCCAGCAGCAGCAGGAGAUUGUGAACCAACAGGCCGUCAUCAUGGCCCAGCAGAUGACCAUACACGCCAUGGCCAUGGUCAGCAGCCCCGUGUCGAGUCCCCCAACCUCCCCGAUCACGAGCCCUCCCAUGAGUCCUCUCCUCCCUCACCCUCCCAGCGCUUACGUCCCUGCCAGCCCAUAUGCCGUCAUACCUCCAAGUCCAUAUGCAAACAUCCCACCGAGUCCUUACGCCAACUUCACUCCAACUCCCUACGCUGGAGCCGUCAUCCCAGCCAGCCCUUAUCUUCUUUCUGCUCAGCAGGGACACACUCUAUCACAGCCGAACACUCCACUCCCAACCGAGCCUUGGGCCGCCCGCCCUGACCCCCAUCAGAGCUCUUCCACAGCUGAGGCAGCACAGCCUAGAUCUAAAUCCUCGCCACAGGUUCAGUCAGGUAAGGACAGCGUUCCUCGGAGAAAGGCUCCGGGCGUUCCUAUUAACAAGGAGCCAACCAGGAAAUUCGCCCCAGUUGUGACGUCUCCUCUGCCCCCUGCUGGAGAUGUGGUGAAGUAUUCAUCUUCAGAUCACAUCGUUCCCAGCCAUGACAUUCAAGGUGACUGCUUUGCAAAGCUGACAAACAAUCUCAUUUGAAGAACUGCUUUUGCAAAAAAAUCUCUGAGGGAUUCUUGAGUUUCCAUGGCGUGUAUUAAUAUUUGUUCUGGUGUUGUACGUCAGAUGUGACAAAAGGGAGAAAAAUGCUGAUUUAUUCUCAUCUUCUAGAAAUCAUCAAAAGGUACAACUCACCAUCACCGCCUCCAGACCUGCUACCGCCUGGCAAGAGGUCAGUUAGUGGAGACUCUCUUUUAAACAUGCAGACAAAAUCUUAAAAAGAAAAAAAAGAUUAGAGAGUGUGGUUGUCUUUUAGGAGACCAGAAGAGAAAUUCAAGAAGAAGCCAACGGCUCGUGACGAAGCUUUACAGAUUCUUAAACCUCAGAUGGAGCACCCUCCUCCUCCACAGGUAGAAACACACUCAUGCCAGAAGCCUGCAGUCUCCGAUCCCUGCAAUCUGCACACACAGUGACUAAACGUGCAAAAACGUCUGUUGUUGUGUGUCUCCAGCCCAAACAACCUGUUGCCCCCUCACCAUCUGCUUCUGCCAUGAAAGAGGCAGGCUUUAAACCCACCAGGAUCACAAAAGCAAGAGCACCUGUUCGUCCGCUGCCCAAAACUCCUCCAGGUACACAACUUAUCUACAUACUAAUACAAAUGCAGGCCAAAUCAGAUCUGACUUAGUUGACAUGAACUAAGUUUUCUGAUAAAAACGUGUCACAACCUGAGCUAUCAUGUGGGUUUGCUGCAGCUCUUUUAAGUAAGUAAGUAAGUAAAAGUUUAUUUAUAUAGCGCCUUUCACAGAUAUAAAUCACAAAGCGCUGUACAACAUGAUAAAGAUCAGGGCAAAUUCCUCUAACCAAUAAAAACAUCAGAAAAACAAUAGCAGUGACAAAGUAGAAAAUAAAAUCAUGAGUAUAAACAAAGUGAAGUUGUGAACCCGAACAAAGCCAUCUUUUUGAACAUUUAGGGAGGGAAUGCCUGGAUGAAAAGGUGAGUUUUAGAUGAUUUUUAAAGACCUCUACAGUGUUAGAGAGACAGAGAUUUGAAGGUAGACUGUUCCAAAGUCUGGGUGCAAUAGUCUGAAAGGCCCUGUCCCCUUUGGUUUUCAGUCUGGUUUUAACAUUCACUUUGGGUGGUCUGAUCAUGAUUGGACGUUAGAUUUGAUCGAUCAGUACAUUCAGGGGUGAUCUCUGUUGCCUGUAGCCAGGUUCUUUGGACACUGUGAGGAUGACUGCUUCUUUAUGGCUUUCUACUGUGAUUUAUUCUGAAUUUUCAUCCUGGUUGACUCAAAAAUAAAAUGAUCCAAUCUUUCUAAGUGCCCUGGAGACAUCAUAAGAAAAGGAGAAAAGAAUAGUUUUAUUUCUGUUCAUUUGUGCAGAAAGUGAAGAAAAUGACACAACGAAUCUGUGAUUGUGUGAUGGUUAAAUUUCCUCAGCAGGUUUUAAAUCUAAUCCAGGUGUUUAAGUGCAGGUGGACCCAUCUUUUCCUUUAACUGUUUUACGUCUCAUUUCUUCUGAGAAACGGGUUAUUUCGAACAUCUGUGUUGAUUUUAACAAACUCAAAUGUUCCAAGUUAUCCAGCUUCCAAAUCGAUAACUGUGUGUGUUUUGCAUCUUGUUACUAUUAGUGUGACUGAAACAUGAAAAUUCUAAUUUCCACAUGGUGCUGGUGGUCAUGAGAACAGCGAGGAGAAAUGAUAAUGAUGAUUACAUCUGGUUCUUCCUGCAGAACUCUUUCAGCUCAAGAAUAAUUGUAUUUGUAUAGCGCAUUCACAGGGUUCUACAACCCCCCCAAGGCACUUCACAACACAAACAGUCAUUCACCCAUUCACACACUGGUGGGGAUGAGCUUCAAUGUAGCUGGCCUGGGACGCACUGACAGAGGCGAGGCUGCCGAGCACUGGUGCCACCAGCAGGCAAGGGGGGUUAAAUGUCUUGCCCAAGGACACAACAGAGCUGGUCAGAGCUGGGAUCGAACCUGCAACCUUCUGAUUACUGAACAACCCAUUUUACUCCCUGAGCUACUGCUGUCCCAGUUUGAGUCUGCAGUGCAGGAGUUCUGCUGUCCUCCAGGCCUCGUUUGGUUUUAAACCCCAUUUGUUUUGAUGAGUUUUAACUUCAAAGUUUUAACUCUGAGUGAUCCAAAGGGAUCUUUUGUUUGAUGUCAGCUGAGUUGACUGAGUUUUGAGGUUAACUCUGUUCUGGUUUUAAGACUUUUAUCAACUUUGUGGAUUUUAAAACGCCUUCAGUUUAGGUAAAACGUUUAACAAAGUUUUAACCAGGUGUUUUAAUAUUUGAUAAGUUGUCUUUUAACCGUUAACCUUUGUGAGAAUUUUUUGUUUUGCAUUAUUUUAAUAAUGCCCACCAUCUGUUUGCACUUGUUUUUAGAACCUUUUGUGACAAUUAAACCAAUUUUAAACCCACUAUCAUGUUUCUUAUGUUACCCCCUUCUUCACACUUUAACACCUCCUGUCGGGGACGUAACAUAUGUGAGUCUGCCACAUCUUUCAGGUCUGCUCUUUUUACAGUUGUUCUUUAUUUGUUCUGUCGUCUUUCAGUGGCCUUUGUUAUUUAGAGGCUACCAUCGGCAGCAAAAGCCUGUUUUACGUUACCAGUGAGAUGCUAUCUAAUAUUUUUCCCGUUUGUUGUAUUUUCCUGUCUGCUUCACUUUCAGGUUGACAUUAUGCAGUAGAAAAAAAUAAUUUAAUCAGUCACGAUUGUUUCGGAUGAGAUGUGAGGAAGUGCAGCUGGUAGGGUUGGACUCUGAUGUGUUUAAAGGUGGGGUUUACUCGUUUAUCCAAUAUGUUUGCAGUGUUCUCCACUUUAAACCAAUGUCUUAUGAGUAGGGAUGCUCCGAUCAGGUUUUAAUCUGCCGAUCACCGAUACCGAUCAGCCAAGAGGCCGAUCAUGGCCGAUCAGCCGAUUACCGAUACCAAUUACAUAGAUUGGCUGUAAAUUGUUCAUUUAGCUAUGGUGAGUUCUAAUGCAUGUGUUACAUAUUAAUUCAGAAAAAACAUGGUUUUACUUCACUUCAAAUUAUGUAAUAUCCAGAGGUGGAAAGUAACAAAUUACAUUUACUCACAUUACUGUAAUUGAGUAGCUUUUUUGUAAAUUUAUACUUUUUAAGUUGUUUUUAAAAGCUGUACUUUUACUUUUACUUGAGUAAGUUUUUAAAAAGAAUUGUAAUUCGCUACAUUUUAAAUCAUAUCCGUUACCGAGUAAAAAUAAAUUAUAGGCUUAAUAAAUUAAAAAUAUUACGUGUAGCAGCGUUGGAACGGAAAGAGACACCUGCAUGAGCGCCGCGUCUAAACCCUGGGGGUGUGGGGGUGUACACUUUAGCUCAAAGACAUCAGUUCAGUUCCUCAACUCGCUGUUUACCUCCUCUCUCCCUCCUCUCCUGUGUGUUGGAUCCUAAAGUAUGUACAGUCUAUGGUUGGAUCCCGCACCUUCGCGCACCGGUGUGAUGUCAUCAGAAAUCUGCUCGGUUCGGUAGCCGGACUCGGUUCCGUGUUUGAAUUUCUCUACCGCUCCGCACGGAAGCAGCAAAAUAACGUUUAGCGCUCAUGACAAGCGGACUCUCAACGCUCUGCUCAUAAAACAGAAGACCUGCAGGUCUCUGUGAGUUAAAACAUCCUGAUACUGUUCAGGUGUAAACAUUGUGCUCCGUCCCUGUGUUUGAACUCAGAAGAUGCUCCUUGAUGCCACAGAUAUGUGAUGAUUUAUCUUGUUUCUUUAUUUUACUCCAGAAUAAGAGAUUAAAUUAUUACUAAAGCAGUUCAAUGUAGUUAAAUUAGUCAUUCACAUGAUUCUAACAUGCUGCAGUGUGUGUGUGUGUGUGUGUGUGUGUGUGUGUGUGUGUGUGUUACACAUAUAGGACUGCAUGAGACAGC
Molecule: long non-coding RNA, 4588 nt
Organism: Nothobranchius furzeri (turquoise killifish)
Lineage: Eukaryota; Metazoa; Chordata; Actinopteri; Cyprinodontiformes; Nothobranchiidae
Source: Ensembl